AAAUCGCUUCUCCCGUUCAGUCACCUUAAAAUCCUCUCCUCUCUGUUCUCUCUUAGACCCAACCCUAACCCUAAUUGUCGCCACCUAAACCUAGCCCUAAUCAUUUCGAUUCCUACCUGUUUUAUGAGGUUCCAUGGUUGUUUUCAGGCUCCACUGGUCUCCUACUUUUUCUGAUUGUCCGAUUUUGUGAUUUCUUGGAAAGAUCUCGAAGAGAGCUGGCCAGAUCUUGUUCGAGACUCUUUGAGGGUCUGUCUAUAGUCUGUGAGUGUUACUGUCUCGAUGUUUGUGGUUCAAAUCUCUUGUUCAAGGCCAUAUUCUCUUUACCCCUUUCCUUUUUCUUCAAAACCCCAAUUUUGGAUACGAAUCCAUCCAGAUCUUUGUAGAUUUGAAACGAUUCUAAGUCUGUCAACAACUUUUCUUUAAAAAGUUCUCUUAUUUCUUUAUUGCUAACCGAUUUUUAAGCACUUUUUUUUUAUAUUAGAGUUUGUUUUCUCUUUAUUUGUUGGGUGAACCUCUAUGUUUGAAGUAGUUUCGAGUUUCCAUGACUGUUUCUUUAAGAUUCUCCUGAUCUUACCACUAUUAAUCAAUCCUAAGUAUUUUUUUUAAAUUUAGGGUUCUAGUUCUAUUUUUGCGAGAGGUUUUCAGAGAUUCUUAUGUUUUGUUUAAUCUUUCUCGCAUGGAUAUGACCCUGGUUCAAUUGCUUGAUUGUUCAUUAUUUGACUUUAACAUUAUUGUCCAUUAUUAUUUGAAUAAUUGACUGAUUAACUAAAUUAUCUAGGGUUUCAUUAUUUGUUAAAAUAAUGUACUGAUUUCUUCUUGCUUUCCUUAAUUCAGAGGUUCCUAAUUGGCGUCUCUUGCCUAUUUAUGGGCUGAUUGACACUUGAUUGGUCUUUAAUUGCCAAUGAUUGCCUCAUUCGUGCGAUUGAUUGCUUGAUUUAAGAGUUCUAACUCUAAUUGGCUUUUAAAUCCACAUAUUGCAUUAUUUGAAACUCAAUCAAAGUUAUUUAUGGUUAUAAUCCCCUAAUUUUCUGUCCCUGUCAAGCUUGAUUGAUUAUGUGAGUACUUCCCUUACCUUAUUUACAAUAUUUAUCUGUCUUGCCUUAUUUACUUACACUAUUCGACUCCGAUAUAUAUAGUCUCAUUCUGCCUUUCACACAAGAGAAAUAGUUCACGCACAGAGACCUAAGGAAAAACACUUAAAAAUUCUUGCUCUCUCUCUCUCUCUCUAUUGCAAACUACUGCUACUUGUCUAUUGAACUAUCUAGUCGGUUGGAAGCCAAGACUAGAUCUUGGAUCCUCUUUACUUUACUCUUUUAUUGCAAAUUUCCAGCUGGUAUGCCUCUACUACUGCCAUUUAAUUAAUGUAUGUGUUUAUCAGCAUGUUUACUUCUGUUUAAAUCCAUGAGUUUGUCAACUUAUUUACUUUUGUUUAAAUCCAUAAGUUUACCAGCAUGUUUACUUCUGUUUAAUCCAUGUGUUUACUAAUAUGAUUGCUUCUGUCUAAUCUACGUGGUUACCUUUGUUCAAUCUGUAUGUUCAAUAGCAUGUCUAACUAUGUGUUUCCUAGCAUGCCUAUUAAUGUUCAAUCUAUGUUACUACUGCACCAGCAUACCUACUGCUGCUCAAUACAUGUGUUUACUACAAUAGCAUGUUUACUUCUGUUUUUAAUUAGAACUAUGUACUUUUACUUUAAGCAAAUUUGCAUGUUUACUUAUGUCUAAAUUUGAUAUGUGUUUUAUCUACUUCCCUACUAGCAUGUUUACCCUAUCUAGAUGUCCACCUUUCACAACUUUGCUCCCCAAUCCCUACUGCCCCUUUGUAUGUGAUUGUUCGAUCGUUAGAAUGACUUGUCUUUCUGUUUGGUCACUUAUUAAUAACUAACUUAAGUCAUCCUAAUUCUGAAUGUUGUUUGUUUGCUGGAACAUAUGCCUAAGUUCCAGGAAUUGAAUGACUAUAUUUGCUUCUUCUUUCCUGAAAGUCUAAAAACUUAUUUUUUCAAACUACUCUUAUAAGUCACUAUCACCUUCAAAAUUCUUAGAACAUCUAGGGUUCUACCCCUCCAGUAUGAGCAUUGAUUUGGAGUCCAUGAGACCCCCCCUGAACUUCGACACAUUGGGGUUGGAUACUCCAUACGACACAAGCUCUUAAUUUUUAAAGAGGGCAUUGGUAUGAG
This 2173-nucleotide long non-coding RNA is filed under the name Nicotiana benthamiana. RNAcentral describes it as "long non-coding RNA (NBEN_LNC027861)". The record is from RNAcentral. Lineage: Eukaryota; Viridiplantae; Streptophyta; Magnoliopsida; Solanales; Solanaceae.